UACGGAGGGGGCUAGCGUUGUUCGGAAUUACUGGGCGUAAAGCGCGCGUAGGCGGAUCUGCAAGUCGGGGGUGAAAUCCCGAGGCUCAACCUCGGAACUGCCUUCGAUACUGCGGGUCUCGAGUCCGGGAGAGGUGAGUGGAAUUCCUAGUGUAGAGGUGAAAUUCGUAGAUAUUCGCAAGAACACCAGUGGCGAAGGCGGCUUACUGGUCCGGUUCUGACGCUGAGGCGCGAAAGCGUGGGGAGCAAACAGG
This 253-nucleotide ribosomal RNA is filed under the name uncultured bacterium. Its description in RNAcentral is "partial 16S ribosomal RNA". It matches the Rfam family "Bacterial small subunit ribosomal RNA", at positions 524 to 776 of the family's 1533-position model. The record is from RNAcentral.